GACGAACGCUGGCGGCGUGCUUAACACAUGCAAGUCGAACGGAAAGGCCCUGCUUUUGUGGGGUGCUCGAGUGGCGAACGGGUGAGUAACACGUGAGUAACCUGCCCUUGACUUUGGGAUAACUUCAGGAAACUGGGGCUAAUACCGGAUAGGAGCUCCUGCUGCAUGGUGGGGGUUGGAAAGUUUCGGCGGUUGGGGAUGGACUCGCGGCUUAUCAGCUUGUUGGUGGGGUAGUGGCUUACCAAGGCUUUGACGGGUAGCCGGCCUGAGAGGGUGACCGGCCACAUUGGGACUGAGAUACGGCCCAGGCUCCUACGGGAGGCAGCAGUGGGGAAUAUUGCACGAUGGGCGGAAGCCUGAUGCAGCAGCGCCGCGUGCGGGAUAACGGCCUUCGGGUUGUAAACCGCUUUCGCCUGUGACGAAGCGUGAGUGACGGUAAUGGGUAAGGAAGCACCGGCUAACUACGUG
RNAcentral lists this ribosomal RNA (468 nucleotides) under uncultured bacterium. Its description in RNAcentral is "partial 16S ribosomal RNA". It matches the Rfam family "Bacterial small subunit ribosomal RNA", at positions 28 to 507 of the family's 1533-position model. The record is from RNAcentral.